RNAcentral lists this ribosomal RNA (300 nucleotides) under uncultured Colwelliaceae bacterium. RNAcentral's name for it is "bacterial SSU rRNA". It matches the Rfam family "Bacterial small subunit ribosomal RNA", at positions 114 to 416 of the family's 1533-position model. The record is from RNAcentral. Lineage: Bacteria; Pseudomonadati; Pseudomonadota; Gammaproteobacteria; Alteromonadales; Colwelliaceae.
UGCUUGGGAAUAUGCCUUUUGGUGGGGACAACAGUUGGAAACGACUGCUAAUACCGCAUAAUGUUUACGGUACCAAAGUGGGGGACCUUCGGGCCUCACGCCAAAAGAUUAGCCCAAGUGAGAUUAGCUUGUUGGUGGGGUAAUGGCCUACCAAGGCGACGAUCCAUAGCUGGUCUGAGAGGACGAUCAGCCACACUUGGGACUGAGACACGGCCCAGACUCCUACGGGAGGCAGCAGUAGGGAAUAUUGGACAAUGGGGGCAACCCUGAUCCAGCAAUGCCGCGUGUGUGAAGAAGGCC